GGUGAUACGCUUAUGUCAAAGAUUAAGCCAUGCAUGUAUUCGUACGACCAUCUCAUGGUUAAACUGCGAACGGCUCAUUACAACAGCCAAAAUCAGCAUGAGGUGUACCUUAUGGAUACUUGCAGUAAUUCUGGAGCUAAUACACGUGCGACCUUCGGGUUCAUUUUUUAGAUUCACUAACCGGGCAACCGUUGAGUGAUGACUCUGAUUAUCUUGCAGACCGCAUGCUUUUGCAGCGGCGAUUCAUUCUGAUUGACUGUCCUAUCAACUUUCUAGUAGAGUAGCGGUCUACUAGGGUGAUUACGGGUAACGGAGGAUUAGGGUUUGACUCCGGAGAAGAUGCCUUAGAAACGGCAACUACAUCCAAGGAAGGCAGCAGGCGCGUAAAUUACCCACUCUCAGUUCGAGGAGGUAGUGACAACCAAUAACGAGACUCAGACCUUUGGUUUGAGUCAUCGGAAUGGGUCCAAAGUAAACCCGUUAACGAUGAUCAAUGAGAGGGCAAGUCUGGUGCCAGCAGCCGCGGUAAUUCCAGCUCUCAGAGUGUAUAUCUGUCUUGCUGUGGUUAAAAAGCUCGUAGUUGGAUCUGUACCUUGAGAAACAGUUCACCUUUGUGUGUAACUGCUUUCCGAGGUGUAAUUCGUGGGUUUACUCACGAGAGUUACCCUGAUUAAAUCAGAGUGCUCAAAACAAGCGUUUCGCUUGAAUGUUUUUGCAUGGAAUAAUGGAAAAGGACUUCGGUUCCUUACUGUUGGUUUCGGAAUUGAAGUAAUGAUUAACAGGGACCAACGGGGGCAUACGUAUCGUUGCGCGAGAGGUGAAAUUCAUGGACCGCAGCGAGACGUUCAAUAGCGAAAGCAUUUGCCAAGAAUGUCUUCACUAAUCAAGAACGAAAGUCAGAGGUUCGAAGGCGAUUAGAUACCGCCGUAGUUCUGACCGUAAACGAUUCCAUCUAGCGAUCCGACGGCGGUUUUUCUGCCUUGUCGGGGAGCUUCCCGGAAACGAAAGUCUUUCGGUUCCGGGGGUAGUAUGGUUGCAAAGCUGAAACUUAAAGGAAUUGACGGAAGCGCACCACCAGGCGUGGAGCUUGCGGCUUAAUUUGACUCAACACGGGAAAACUCACCCGGCCCGGACACCGUAAGGAUUGACAGACUGAUAGCUCUUUCACGAUUCGGUGGUUGGUGGUGCAUGGCCGUUCUUAGUUGGUGGAGCGAUCUGUCUGGUUUAUUCCGAUAACGAGCGAGACUCUAGCCUACUAAAUAGUUUCUUCAUCUUCUGAUGUAGCGAACUUCUUAGAGGAAUCGCCGGUAUUGAGCCGCAUGAAAUAGAGCAAUAACAGGUCUGUGAUGCCCUUAGAUGUCCGGGGCUGCACGCGAGUUACUAUGGAGAAUCCAACGUGUCUACCUUGACCGAAGGGUCUAGGCAANCCGUUGAAACCUCUCUUUGAUCGGGAUAGGGAAUUGUCCAACUAUUUCCCUUGAACGAGGAAUGCCUAGUAAGAACGAGUCAUCAACUCGUUCUGAUUUGGUCCCUGCCCUUUGUACACACCGCCCGUCGCUACCCGGGACUGAACUGUUUCGAGAAAACCGGGGACUAGCUCUCAAGCCUCGUGCUUUGUGAGCCGGAAACCAGUUUAAUCGCGACGGCUUGAACCGGGUAAAAGUCGUAACAAGGUACCG
RNAcentral lists this ribosomal RNA (1679 nucleotides) under Rhomborhabditis regina. RNAcentral describes it as "SSU rRNA". It matches the Rfam family "Eukaryotic small subunit ribosomal RNA". Lineage: Eukaryota; Metazoa; Nematoda; Chromadorea; Rhabditida; Rhabditidae. The record is from RNAcentral.